UGGGGAAUCUUGGACAAUGGGGGAAACCCUGAUCCAGCCAUGCCGCGUGAUCGAUGAAGGCCUUAGGGUUGUAAAGAUCUUUCAGCUGGGAAGAUAAUGACUGUACCAGCAGAAGAAGCCCCGGCUAACUCCGUGCCAGCAGCCGCGGUAAUACGGAGGGGGCUAGCGUUGUUCGGAAUUACUGGGCGUAAAGCGCACGUAGGCGGAUCAGUCAGUCAGGGGUGAAAUCCCGGGGCUCAACCCCGGAACUGCCUUUGAUACUGCUGGUCUUGAGGUCGAGAGAGGUGAGUGGAAUUCCGAGUGUAGAGGUGAAAUUCGUAGAUAUUCGGAGGAACACCAGUGGCGAAGGCGGCUCACUGGCUCGAUACUGACGCUGAGGUGCGAAAGCGUGGGGAGCAAACA
This 402-nucleotide ribosomal RNA is filed under the name uncultured prokaryote. RNAcentral describes it as "bacterial SSU rRNA". It matches the Rfam family "Bacterial small subunit ribosomal RNA", at positions 355 to 774 of the family's 1533-position model. The record is from RNAcentral.